UACGUAGGGAGCAAGCGUUGUUCGGAUUUACUGGGCGUAAAGGGCGCGUAGGCGGCCUGUCAAGUCAACUGUGAAAUCUCCGGGCUUAACUCGGAACGGUCAGUUGAUACUGUCAGGCUAGAGUGCAGAAGGGGCAAUCGGAAUUCUUGGUGUAGCGGUGAAAUGCGUAGAUAUCAAGAGGAACACCUGAGGCGAAGACGGGUUGCUGGGCUGACACUGACGCUGAGGCGCGAAAGCUAGGGGAGCAAACGGG
RNAcentral lists this ribosomal RNA (253 nucleotides) under uncultured bacterium. Its description in RNAcentral is "partial 16S ribosomal RNA". It matches the Rfam family "Bacterial small subunit ribosomal RNA", at positions 524 to 776 of the family's 1533-position model. The record is from RNAcentral.